This 267-nucleotide ribosomal RNA is filed under the name Triticum aestivum (bread wheat). Its description in RNAcentral is "partial small subunit ribosomal RNA". Lineage: Eukaryota; Viridiplantae; Streptophyta; Magnoliopsida; Poales; Poaceae. The record is from RNAcentral.
AUGGCUGCAGGUGGAGCUUCCUUUCUUGCUGCUGUUGCUGUUUUCUCCAUGCUGAUUAUGUCGUCUCUGGGGAAUCCGAGGCCUUUAUGCAGUGACUGUGGGACGUUGUGCAGUACCAAGUGCAACGAGGAGGCUAAAAACUCCUGCAGUGGUACCUGCUACACCCUCGGGAGGGCUGUGAGAGGCAGAUCUUGGACCAGUGCAAAGCCGAGGGUACCUGCUGCAGUAGCAAUAGCACAUCAUGCACUUGUGACUGCAACACCAUAG